Onychomys torridus (southern grasshopper mouse) is the source of this 1171-nucleotide long non-coding RNA. RefSeq lists it as uncharacterized. The record is from RefSeq and is a predicted model, not a curated record. Lineage: Eukaryota; Metazoa; Chordata; Mammalia; Rodentia; Cricetidae. The transcript has 3 exons.
GUUAGCAGAAUAGAAAGAUAUAUGUCUGUUUACACAGGAAGUCCCUCACUUUGGAAGCUGCGGCGUGGUGAGGGUGUAGAGAUGGAGAAAUCCACAGCCAGAGUGGAGUCUGCACUACUUGCAAGCCUGUGGGGAGGGAGGCAAAGACCUUUAAAUGAAAGCAAGAGGCUGGAAGCAUCAAAAGUAACCACUGUCUGCAGAAAUAAGUGUAAUCCAUGCCCUUCACCAUGAAACUUCUCUGUACAACAGAUGAGGACUAUUAUAGAAACUACAGCCCAUCAAAAUAAAGAGUUGUGAAGCCCAGUCCCAAAGGAUACAUCUAUAGUUGAAUUCCUGCACCCCAAGCUUAGGGAUCAUUUUGGAAAAAGAGAUAAAAAAUGCUGUGUAAGCAAUAGAAAUGCUAAAUUUUCUGUGAGAUUAAAUAUUAAUUCUUAAGAGAAAUUUAUUUCUUUGUGUCAUAUUAGAAAAGAACAUUGGAAUGGUUAGUGUUGUUAAUUUGACAAAAGUUAGUAUCAUUGAGGAAAGAAGUCUUUCUGAGGGACUGUAUAGAUGAGGCUGGCCAAGUAGCAUAUCUGUGGGGGAUUAUCUUGAUUACAUUAAUUGAUUUGAAACUUACCCACUGUGGGUAGAACCAUCCUCUAGGUAGAAGAUACUGGUCUGUAUAUGAGUAGAGAACAGAACUAGCGUGCAAGCCAUUCUAAAUGUUUUUCUGUUGCUGUGAAAGAAUGCCCUGUGGAAACAAUGUAAAGAAGAGUUUAUUUAGGCUUACCAAUCCAGAGUGACGGGAUAAAUCACAGCAUGGAAGGCAUGGCAACAGGAGAAGGAAUUUGAGCAAUUUUGCCUUCAUAAACACACAGGAAGCAGAAAGAACAUCAAGUAGGAUGAGGCUGCGAACACUCAAGACCCAUUCCCAGUGACAUACUUCCUCAACAAGACACUACUGCUGAAGGCUCCAUAACUUUCCCAAACAGCGCCACCACCAAUAAGUCUCAAAUACAUGGGCCUAUGAGGGACACUUCUCAUCUAAGCCUCACCAAAUGCGUUUGUCAUUCUCUGCCUUCUAUUGUGGAUUCCAUGUGUGGAGCUGCUUCAAAAUUCUGGUUUUACUUUCCUGCCAUGAUGGACUGACUGUACCUUGAACUGUGAAGCCAAAUAAAUCAUGUUUUUCUUA